Ahaetulla prasina is the source of this 1916-nucleotide long non-coding RNA. RefSeq lists it as uncharacterized. The transcript has 2 exons. Lineage: Eukaryota; Metazoa; Chordata; Lepidosauria; Squamata; Colubridae. The record is from RefSeq and is a predicted model, not a curated record.
UGCUUGCCAGUAGAAACUAAAGAAGUUGAUCACAAAUAGACAUAAGUGUCAGUCUCUAGAUGAAGAUUAUGGUACUCUUGGUAAGAAACUGUAAGUGGCCUGUUACUAGAAAAAAGGUAAGGUAAUAUUUAGCUGUGAUCAACAUUGUCUGGACAGAGGUCUAAAGGUAGGGUUUAGCAUGUUAGGAAUUACAAUGGGAGGUGGAAAGAUUAACUAAUUAAGUGCACCCCAUUACGGAUAGUACAUUGUACUGUGUAUGCUUAGGUAAAAAUAGGAACUAAUAAUAUAGUGGUUUUCUUAUAAUAGAUGCUGAUUUUCCUGACUUUGGGCUGCUUGAUUUUGCUUUGCUUCUGCACAGAAAUAAAGCGUUAAAUUCCAUUUUCCUUGCCUUGACUUCUUGCACCAGGUGAAACAAAUCCAUGGGGGUAUGACAUGGGCCAACAUUCUGACAAGGUGGAUGAAAACAUCACCCAUGCUCAGGGGAACUGAACUUCCUUCCUGGAGCUUAAUAUUCCAUGGUGAAAAGUUGUACCAUUCUUUGCACAUAUAUUAGCCAGAAUGAUUAAAUGAAGUUGAUAAAUCUGUGAAAUUGUUCUAUCAAAUUUCUGUCCCUGUUCAUGAUAGGCAAUACAUUUCAUGAGCUGAUGAGUACAAUCAGCACAUAUUUAUUUUUGUUCCUCAUAAGAGUCAUCAUUUAUUACAAGUUUAUGUUUCUUUUUUGUUAUUCAGUUUUCAAGCAGUGUCUUUUUUCCUAUAUUAGUUCCUACAAGCAUAUCUGAUUAUUAUAAUUAGUUAUAUAUUUUUUUAUUCUGUAGUGUUACAUAUAUAGAAUUUCUGAAAAAUGAAAAUAAAAUAAUAGUAUUUCUUAAGAAUUCCACAAUGCUGGCAAAAAGAAUGAGAAAAAUUAAAACUUGGCAGAAAUUGGAUGUGCAUAUAUUUGAACUUUAAAUUUGAAUUUAUAGUGGUAAAUUGCUAAAGUCUACAUUUCUAGAACUUUUUUGUUUGGAAAAUUUGUUAAAACUGUGAUUUUACAGCACAAGGAAUCUCUGAAAGUCAUUGCAGUCAUUAAUUCAAUUUGCAAAAGAUUUCAAUUUGGUGCAUACUACUUCCAGUCUGUAUUAUGCAGGGUAGAAAGGAUUGAAAUAAAUAAAUAAAUAUAGACUGUGAAGAGAAUAUUAGAAAAGUCAAAACUGGAUGCCUCCGAUUUUUAUUUGGGGGUUUGGGCAUUUGGAAAUACUAUUUUGGACAUCACCAGUACAAUUAUUAAUGGGUAAAUAUUUGCAAACAUCUGGUAUUUUGUGAAAGUCACAAGAUGAUCAAGGAAGCAUUUAUAAAAGACUGAAGAAAAAACAAGAAAAGCAAAGUUGUUAUAACUGAGGAAAUACCAUAGAACCAUUUUGGUAUACAUGAUAAUGUAUUUCCUAGACAUAGGAGAAUAUGGAGACUGACCCAAAUUAUUAAAAAAAAAGCAAAAUGUCAGAUCUUACUUUAUAGAAAUGGCUGAAAAGAUUUAAGACAGAUGAAAGCCCAUAUGCUUGCUCUAAUCACAUGCAGAAAGAAGAAGUAACUACACUUAGUGAUACAAUUGCGAAAAGACACAGAUCUAGUUUCCUUAAAAAUAUAACCAAUGUGAAAUAAGGGAUGAAAUGUUUUUGGAAAUCAGUACGAUGUGGGAAUUUUAAAAAGAAAAGAACCUUGGAAAAAUAUAUUAUCAGGUAUAUUGCUCUUUAUUGUAUUACUUGUGAACAGUGUAAGGAAUAGAUAAAAAUUAAUAUGUAAAUUUAAACUUAUUUUUAACACUGUUUUUAUGCUUUUAUGUUUUUAUAUUAUAUUAUUAUGUUUUUUGUAAUCUGUCCAGGGUUACUUAGGUGAGAUGGACUAUGUAAAAUUUGAUAAAUAAAAUAAAAUAAAAUACC